RNAcentral lists this ribosomal RNA (108 nucleotides) under Pseudomonas helmanticensis. RNAcentral describes it as "partial 16S rRNA. Bacterial SSU". It matches the Rfam family "Bacterial small subunit ribosomal RNA", at positions 1428 to 1533 of the family's 1533-position model. Lineage: Bacteria; Pseudomonadati; Pseudomonadota; Gammaproteobacteria; Pseudomonadales; Pseudomonadaceae. The record is from RNAcentral.
AGCUAGUCUAACCUUCGGGAGGACGGUUACCACGGUGUGAUUCAUGACUGGGGUGAAGUCGUAACAAGGUAGCCGUAGGGGAACCUGCGGCUGGAUCACCUCCUUAAU